Molecule: ribosomal RNA, 400 nt
Filed under: Sphingomonas sp. sph1
Lineage: Bacteria; Pseudomonadati; Pseudomonadota; Alphaproteobacteria; Sphingomonadales; Sphingomonadaceae
Description: bacterial SSU rRNA
Rfam family: Bacterial small subunit ribosomal RNA
Source: RNAcentral
GGAAUAUUGGACAAUGGGCGAAAGCCUGAUCCAGCAAUACCGAGUGAGUGAUGAAGGCCUUAGGGUUGUAAAGCUCUUUUAGCAAGGAAGAUAAUGACGGUACCUAGUAAAGAAGCCCCGGCUAACUUCGUGCCAGCAGCCGCGGUAAUACGAAGGGGGCUAGCGUUGUUCGGAAUUACUGGGCGUAAAGAGUACGUAGGCGGCUUAUCAAGUUGGGUGUGAAAGCCCAGGGCUCAACCCUGGAACUGCACUCAAAACUGGUAAGCUAGAGAUCGGAAGAGGUAAGUGGAAUUCCCGGUGUAGCGGUGAAAUGCGUAGAGAUCGGGAGGAACAUCAGUGGCGAAGGCGGCUAUCUGGACCAGCACUGACGCUGAGGCACGAAAGCGUGGGGAGCAAACAG